Molecule: long non-coding RNA, 1269 nt
Filed under: Papio anubis (olive baboon)
Lineage: Eukaryota; Metazoa; Chordata; Mammalia; Primates; Cercopithecidae
Description: lncRNA (ENSPANG00000047860.1)
Source: RNAcentral
AGGCCCCUUGCACCACUGUACGUGAACCCUGCCAGGCGCUGGGGCUCCCUGCUGGGGAGGUCUCAGACCCAGACCAAAAGAGGACCACUACCGGGGUUGGAGGGUGUCACUGAGGAUGCACCCCCAAAACGGGUCUGGAAGGAAGGCUGGGAUGUAAGUAAAAGGAAGUGGGGCCAUGGAAGCAGCGUGGACAAGGCAAGGAGGCUGAAAGUGAAGAGAGCCGCUGCCCAGAAAGGGAAGGUGGGGCCCGGGUUGGACACUGCCCAGGUCCUGGGUUCCUCCGUUGCCCUCUGCCCGUGGUCAAAGUUCAGUCCCUCCAAAGGGCUCUUCUGGGGGCUUUGGUCAGGCCCUCCGGAGCGCUCGGGGCCGCCAAGGGCACACGAGCCUGCCCGGCCACAAGCGGGCCUGUGCCUGGCGGCGGGGUCCGGAGUGCGCCCGGGGCUGGCGCAGCCCACACGCGUGCACACGGCGGGGUCCGCGCGGGCCGGAAGCCACAGGGCCAGAGCGGGGCGCCGGGAAAGGCAGAGGGGAGCGGGAACAAAGGACGCAACAGAGCGGGGGCGGCCCGGCCAGGCAGUGAUAGGCGGCCGGGGUCGGGGGCAGCGUCCGGGCCGGGCCGUGAUUGGGCCGCAGCCUCUCCGGGGGCCCCCGGCGCCCGCCCCGCCCCUCUCGGCCGAAACCCGAGCCGCCAUCUGCGCCCGGGCGGGGCGCGGGCCCGGAGUCGGGUUCCCGCCCAGCCCCAGCCGCCAGCCCUCGUCGCGGGCCGGCAACCUGUGCACCGGCCUCCCCCCGCUGCCACCCCCGGCCCAGCUGCGCUCAGGGUCCCCGGGGUCCAAGCAAGGGGUUGGGGCACCGCCGUGGGGGAAAAGCCCGAUGGGCACUGGAGGGCCAGCGGGCCCGAGGGGACAGGGGACAGGGCCCAGAAAGCAGCUCCGUCCUGGGCCUGGCCGUGGCUGGUGGCUGGACUGGGAGAGCGCUCAGAGAACAGGGGACAUUGGAGAGGGCGGGUUGGGGUUAAGACCAGUUAGUGGAGGAGGCCGCAGGCUGAAGGACGGCUCAGGGAGGGGUGAUUCGAUGGCCGGAACCCGGCAGCUCCAGGAGUCACUGGGACCGAAGGCGGCGCCAGAAUGCCAAGCGGGGUUCCGGCAGGGUUUGGAGCAGGAGAAGUUGUUUGCAGUUCACUACCAGCCAGGCCACUGCUGGGUGGUUAAAGGCGGGAUGAGGGGCCUACUCCACUCCCUGCGUCUUUCCCAGCGGCCUGGGAGGUGA